UUACAAGUAAUUAAGAUGGAAAAUUUCUCUGUCUCUCUCUUUUGGAUUGUUCGUUUCUAGUUUCAAAGAAGAUAGCUUUAUUUGUAAUUUAGUGGAUAACAAUUUACUGACCACAACCACUAUUGUCUAUCAAAUUGUCGACCACAUCCACAAGACUAUCCAAUUCAUGCCCACAUCCACAGGUUUUCGAAGAGACGAUUGAACAUUUACUCCCAAACACAACUAAACCACAACUAUCAUGACCACAAAUUUUCGGCAUACCAACACCAUUGUCCACGCUUCUGUCAACUAAUUUCACUAACCACCACAAUUAUGCGUCCAUAACCAUGCUGUUCACUACAUCAAAAUUCAUGACCACAACUGCUUCCUGCCGCACACA
RNAcentral lists this long non-coding RNA (379 nucleotides) under Brassica napus (rape). RNAcentral describes it as "long non-coding RNA (BNAP_LNC002410)". Lineage: Eukaryota; Viridiplantae; Streptophyta; Magnoliopsida; Brassicales; Brassicaceae. The record is from RNAcentral.